This 400-nucleotide ribosomal RNA is filed under the name Hepatozoon sp. RNAcentral describes it as "bacterial SSU rRNA". It matches the Rfam family "Eukaryotic small subunit ribosomal RNA", at positions 638 to 1039 of the family's 1831-position model. The record is from RNAcentral. Lineage: Eukaryota; Apicomplexa; Hepatozoidae.
GCUAAAAAUAACCGGUCUGCUUUUAUUAUUAAAAGUGGUAUCUUGGUGUGUUUUUAGCAAUAAUGUCCUUUGAAAUGUUUUUUACUUUAUUGUGAGAAGCAAUUUUCAGGAUUUUUACUUUGAGAAAAUUAGAGUGUUUCAAGCAGGCUAACGUUUUGAAUACUGCAGCAUGGAAUAAUAAAAUAGGAUUUUAGUUCUACGUUAUUGGUUUUAAGAACUAAAUUAAUGAUUGAUAGGAGCAGUUGGGGGCAUUUGUAUUUAACUGUCAGAGGUGAAAUUCUUAGAUUUGUUAAAGACACACUACUGCGAAAGCAUUUGCCAAAGAUGUUUUCAUUAAUCAAGAACGAAAGUUAGGGGAUCGAAGACGAUCAGAUACCGUCGUAGUCCUAACCAUAAACUA